RNAcentral lists this ribosomal RNA (468 nucleotides) under uncultured bacterium. RNAcentral's name for it is "partial 16S ribosomal RNA". It matches the Rfam family "Bacterial small subunit ribosomal RNA", at positions 28 to 507 of the family's 1533-position model. The record is from RNAcentral.
GACGAACGCUGGCGGCGUGCUUAACACAUGCAAGUCGAACGGAAAGGCCCUGCUUUUGUGGGGUGCUCGAGUGGCGAACGGGUGAGUAACACGUGAGUAACCUGCCCUUGACUUUGGGAUAACUUCAGGAAACUGGGGCUAAUACCGGAUAGGAGCUCCUGCUGCAUGGUGGGGGUUGGAAAGUUUCGGCGGUUGGGGAUGGACUCGCGGCUUAUCAGCUUGUUGGUGGGGUAGUGGCUUACCAAGGCUUUGACGGGUAGCCGGCCUGAGAGGGUGAACGGCCACAUGGGGACUGAGAUACGGCGCAGACUCCUACGGGAGGCAGCAGUGGGGAAUAUUGCACAAUGGGCGGGAGCCUGAUGCAGCAACGCCGGGUGCGUGAUGACGGCCUUCGGGUUGUAAACCGCUGUCGCCUGUGACGAAGCGUGAGUGACGGUAAUGGGUAAAGAAGCACCGGCUAACUACGUG